This 31-nucleotide non-coding RNA is filed under the name Mus musculus (house mouse). The record is from RNAcentral. Lineage: Eukaryota; Metazoa; Chordata; Mammalia; Rodentia; Muridae.
UGCUGGGUGCUGCUGUGAAGGGUUUUGAACA